GCUAACUUCCGUAAACUCUCAGCGUUUGUCGUCGCAUAUAUCUGCAAGCCUCCUAUAAACAUAUUCUUUGGUACAGCUUUACGUUUGUUGUGCGAAUUUUGUAGUCAAGAAGAGUAGAUAAUAUUUUUCCCACAGUGCAAUUUUUGUUUUUGUCCAUUUUGUUAACAUGAGUGUAUUUUCUUUGAAUCAGCUGGGGGUAAAAUGGGAAAAAAUUAUGAUUGAAAAAUUACUUCACCAAAUGUGUCCUAAUGAAGAUUUUGAUCCUGAAACUAAGGAGGUUCUUGAAAGAGCAGCUGUUGAUGUCUUUAACACUGUCCUGAUAAAAUCAUGUGAGUUUGUUAAAUGUUCAAGAUCAGACAGUAAAGUUCUGAAAGGCGAAGAUUUAUUGUUCUUUUUACGUCAAAACUGUGGUAUUGAUCCUAAAGAAUUUUCAUUUCUUGAUUAUUAUUAUCCUCAUUCUCCACCAUAUGGAAAAACAAUGAUGCCAGUAAAAGUCAUUGAGAAGCAAUUCCUAAAAAGAAAAGGAAAUGUGAUAUGUAAAUUACCAAGAUCCGAAAAGAAAAACGUUAAAUCUACAGAGGUGAAUAAGCUGACAAAAAAUAAAGUGAAGAAUGUGACAACAUAUAAGGUGGAUAAGGUAAAUAAUCGGUCAAAAAACAGAGUAAAGUCAGUUACAAAAAAUAAGGUAAAGAAGGUGGCAAAAAACAUGGUGAAUAGGAUGACAAGGAGUAAGAAAAUUUCAUUUCAUACAAAUGCCAAUUAUUCUGAAGAUAAAUGUUCAAAAAUUAUUAGGAAAUCCCUAUCAAAAAAGACUGCUAAUACACUUACACAAGCUAAUUCCUGUGUAUCAUUUCAAGAAAAGUCGCAGGAAAAUUUUAAAAAGGCAGAAAGUUUUGGAAAUUACUCUAUCAUGCGUAAAGUAGAGCUGUCUAGUAGCCAGGUAUCAUCAUCAGAGAUUCCACGUCAUCAUGCUUCUAGUUCAAAGCAAAAUGAAUUUCUUAUAUCUGGAGAUCGGUCACCUAAAAGACAGCUUCUCAGCUCAUCUUUCGACAAUGCAUGCAAUUUUAUUCCUGAAAUUAAGGCCCCUCAGACUUUUAAAGAAAAUGAGUUUUUUAUGUAUAAGGGUAAACCUUCAAAGAAACAGCCAAGCUCUUCUAACAGUACAUUUAACUCUGUUCCUGAAGCUGUAAUAGUAUCAGGUGCAAAAGGAAACAAACUGUCAACAAAUAGGGUAAAGAAGGUGAUGAAAAAUGAGGCAGAGAAGGUUACAAAAGAUGAGGCAAAGAAGAGGAAAAAUAUUAAUGUGAAUAAGGUUGUAAACAAUAAGAAAAUCUCAUUUCUGGUUCAGAAUGAUGGAAAUUCUUCUGAAGCUAAAAAUUCAAAAAUGAUUAUAAAUAAAAAUUUGGAAAAUUUUGGAAGUCACUCUGUCAUACAGAAAGCAGGGCUCUGUAAAUACCAGGUAUCAUCUUCAGACAUUUCAUUUCAUCUUUCUUUUGGUUCAAAUGAAAAUGAAUUUCUUACAUCUGGAGGACAUUCUUCUGAAAGACAGCAUCCCAGCUUAUCUUUAGACGGUACAUAUAAUGUUUUUCCAGAGACAUCUCGGACUUUAAAAGAAAAUGAGUCUAUUAUGUGUAAAUCUAAACCUUCAAAGAAAUUACCAAGCUGUUUUUCUAACAGUGCAUUUAACUCUGUUUGUGAAGCUGUAAUAGAAUCAAGUUCGAAAGGAAAUAAAAUUAACUGUGAAACCCCGCCAUCCAGAAGGCAAUAUCCCAUCUUUAAUCCAUGCACCACAUCAAGUUAUGAAUCCACACCUUCAAGAAGUUCCAGAGCAGGUAGAGUAUCUGAAUUUGUUUUUAAACAAAUGGUAAUAGUAUCAAAUUGCAAACAAAGUAAAUCUGUUGUUGUAUGUGAAGCUCACUCAUCUGAAAUGCAUUCUAGACCUUCUUUAGAUGUUAAAUUUAGAUUAGAUAAUGAAGCUGAAGCAACAGUCAGUUCAAAAGGAAAUGCAGUGAACCCACAUAAAUGGCAGCAUUCCUGCUAUUCCUCAGAUAGCAACUCUUAUUUUGUUUCUAAACCUGCUACAGUAUCAAAUUACAAAAAAAAAUAAACCUAUUAUAUGUGAAGCUCAGUCAUCUACAACUGAGUGUCAAACUUCUUCCAGCAUUCCAUAUCCAGCAUUGUUUCUUGAGUUAUAGUAAUAGAUAACUUGAAAAGUCAUAGACAAGUUCAAUGUGAAGCAGCACCAUUCAAAAACCAGUAGCCCAUGUCUUCAAACAAUACAUCAAAUUAUGAUACUAAAUCUACAGAUCCCUAAAAAAGUAAAUCUUGCACAUAAAGGCAAGUUGUCUCAAAGUUGUAGACUGGUUGAAUGUGAAGUUGCACUAUUCAACAAAAAGCAUUAUCCCAUGUCUUCUUCAAAUACUACAUCAAAUUAUGUUUUGAAACCCACAGAUCCUAAAAGAAGUAAAUCCAUUCUACAUGAAGGCCAGUUGCCUAAAAUCUGUAGACAAGUUGAGUGCACCAUUCAAAAAGCAGUAUCCUGUGUCUUCUUCAAACAUCACAAGUGGAACUGAGACAAUAUCUGAUUCAGAAGGAUGUAGAUUUGAUGUAUAAAAAUACUGGCUAUAUAAGUGGAAGCACUUCAUAUCUAAAUUUGUUCCUAAAGCUAAAAGAGUGCCAAAUUACAAAAAUAAUUACAUGUGUUCAGCUCAGUCAAAAGAGAAACAAUGAACUUGCAAAAAUAACAAUACUCACGAGCUUACAAAAGUAAUUAAACUUGUGAAGCUUAGUCAUAUACUGUAGAGCAUCUAAACUCUUCUUCAGAUGCUGUAUUGGAUUUUAUCAUUAAAUCUGGAACAUUUCCAGAUUUGAAAAGGAAUGAACCUGUUAUGUUUAAAACUCGGCCUUCUAUCGACAGGUAUGGUAGUACGUAGUGCAACAGGUCAUAAAUUGAUUGAUUUUAAAGCUGAGUGAUGUAGAAGGUACUGUCCUGUGGUAUCUUAAUUAGUACAUCAGGUGACAUUUUUAAACCUGCUGUGUCAAAUUCCAGAAAAGAAUGAAAUUAUUCCAUGUAAUUAAUUAUAUUAAUGAAUCUAAAGCAAUGCUUAUUUCCAAAAGAUCUCUCAUCUGUGAAGCUCACCUUUUUGUCUUCCAAUCUCUUCUUACCAUGCUUGUAACUCUGUGUCAAGUGUGAAAUUGAGCAUUUGAAAAGCAAUAUUCUAACUCUUCUUUAGGAACCAUAGUAAUUUUUUUAAUAUUAUUUUCAGCAUCUGCUUCCAAAGGAAAUAAAUUUGUGAAACUUAGUUAACAAAAAGGCAAAUUAAAGACUCACCUUUGAGUAAUACAUUUACUGUCAUUGGUUCUUAUGUUUAUAAAGCUAUAAGAGUACCAAGUUCUAAAGAGAACGAGUCUAUUAUUCUUGAAGCUCAAUCUUCUGACUGAAGUUGCAUGCGGUAUCUGAGGAAGAGUUUUUUUCCUAAACCUGAGAAUACAUCAGGUAUCAAAAAAAGAGAAAAAAUUUCUUCCAAAUUCUGUGGUGUUCUUCAGAUAUUAUUUUUUUUUAAACAGAACCUGAAACAUUUUCAAGUACAGAAGAAAAUGCAUCCAUUAUAUAUAAAAUUCAGGCUUCUAAAAAGUUUCCAAACUCUUAAGUCUGCUCUAAGUUUUGUCUGGGACAUGUGAUGAUACCUAAUUCAAAAGGAAAGAAAUAUGGAUUUUAAAUAUAUAAGCAGUGAUAUUCCCAUGUCUCCUUCAAGUAUUCCAUCAAAUCAUAUUUCCACACUAAUAUCAACAUCAGCUUCUGAAAAGAGUAUAUAUGUAAUACAGUAUAAAAGUCCAAGAUCUGGACAUCUAGUAUCCGGAAUGAUCUAAAAUCCAGACCUCAAAGCCACCAACAAUUUUUUGAUAGCCUUUAUGCGUGUGCAUUCCUACAUAAUAAAACGUGGAGAGUUCCGACUAUUAAUUUCAAACUGGCACUAAAUAAAAUACCUAAUUUUUUUUUUAAUCCUACACCCGUCUGCCGCACUUCUGCCAUUAAGCAACGAGCAGCCCAGUAAAAUGAAAACGAAUGAAGAUGAGAAUUAAAACUAGCAUCAUGUCCAGUUAGCGUUCAGAAACAAGCAACUCCAACAGAUCAAGGCAAAGAGUUGGGAAUUUUAUUCUUUUUGUUAAGCAGGAUGUUCCACAUCUUACCCACAGCUGCAUCUCUUAUAUGUAAAAAGUCAUCACAUAUAAAGAGCUUUGCUGCUUCAGCUGUGGAUUCAGGAACAUUAGUCCUGCGAGUUAUUUCCAGGAUUAACCAAAUAUUCUUCAAGGACAGGAGGAUUCUCAUUGACCAUUCAUCUACUUCUUCAGAACUGCUAGAAAUAGUUCUUUGAGUGAACACUCGAUAGCGUGGAAUAAUGUCAUCAUCACCUUUUCUUCGUUAUCUUGACUUUUGGGAUUACUAUCGUGUGAAAAAUCCAAUCAUGUAUCAGCUUUUUUUGUAUGAAUGGCUCUUUUUAUCAAUUUUGUAACCCAUAAUAAUAAUAAAGCUUCAAAUUUACAAAA
Stegodyphus dumicola is the source of this 4548-nucleotide RNA transcript. RefSeq lists it as uncharacterized. NCBI's taxonomy places the organism in Eukaryota, Metazoa, Arthropoda, Arachnida, Araneae, Eresidae. The record is from RefSeq and is a predicted model, not a curated record.